RNAcentral lists this ribosomal RNA (1195 nucleotides) under Micrococcus sp. Its description in RNAcentral is "bacterial SSU rRNA". It matches the Rfam family "Bacterial small subunit ribosomal RNA", at positions 37 to 1244 of the family's 1533-position model. The record is from RNAcentral. Lineage: Bacteria; Bacillati; Actinomycetota; Actinomycetes; Micrococcales; Micrococcaceae.
UCGGGCGGGGGGCUUACCAUGCAGUCGAACGAUGAAGCCCAGCUUGCUGGGUGGAUUAGUGGCGAACGGGUGAGUAACACGUGAGUAACCUGCCCUUAACUCUGGGAUAAGCCUGGGAAACUGGGUCUAAUACCGGAUAGGAGCGCCUACCGCAUGGUGGGUGUUGGAAAGAUUUAUCGGUUUUGGAUGGACUCGCGGCCUAUCAGCUUGUUGGUGAGGUAAUGGCUCACCAAGGCGACGACGGGUAGCCGGCCUGAGAGGGUGACCGGCCACACUGGGACUGAGACACGGCCCAGACUCCUACGGGAGGCAGCAGUGGGGAAUAUUGCACAAUGGGCGCAAGCCUGAUGCAGCGACGCCGCGUGAGGGAUGACGGCCUUCGGGUUGUAAACCUCUUUCAGUAGGGAAGAAGCGAAAGUGACGGUACCUGCAGAAGAAGCACCGGCUAACUACGUGCCAGCAGCCGCGGUAAUACGUAGGGUGCGAGCGUUAUCCGGAAUUAUUGGGCGUAAAGAGCUCGUAGGCGGUUUGUCGCGUCUGUCGUGAAAGUCCGGGGCUUAACCCCGGAUCUGCGGUGGGUACGGGCAGACUAGAGUGCAGUAGGGGAGACUGGAAUUCCUGGUGUAGCGGUGGAAUGCGCAGAUAUCAGGAGGAACACCGAUGGCGAAGGCAGGUCUCUGGGCUGUAACUGACGCUGAGGAGCGAAAGCAUGGGGAGCGAACAGGAUUAGAUACCCUGGUAGUCCAUGCCGUAAACGUUGGGCACUAGGUGUGGGGACCAUUCCACGGUUUCCGCGCCGCAGCUAACGCAUUAAGUGCCCCGCCUGGGGAGUACGGCCGCAAGGCUAAAACUCAAAGGAAUUGACGGGGGCCCGCACAAGCGGCGGAGCAUGCGGAUUAAUUCGAUGCAACGCGAAGAACCUUACCAAGGCUUGACAUGUUCUCGAUCGCCGUAGAGAUACGGUUUCCCCUUUGGGGCGGGUUCACAGGUGGUGCAUGGUUGUCGUCAGCUCGUGUCGUGAGAUGUUGGGUUAAGUCCCGCAACGAGCGCAACCCUCGUUCCAUGUUGCCAGCACGUAAUGGUGGGGACUCAUGGGAGACUGCCGGGGUCAACUCGGAGGAAGGUGAGGACGACGUCAAAUCAUCAUGCCCCUUAUGUCUUGGGCUUCACGCAUGCUACAAUGGCCCGUUACAUG